GGGGAAUCUUGGACAAUGGGGGCAACCCUGAUCCAGCCAUGCCGCGUGUGUGAAGAAGGCCUUCGGGUUGUAAAGCACUUUCAGCAGGGAGGAAGGCUUACCCCUAAUACGGGUGAGUACUUGACGUUACCUGCAGAAGAAGCACCGGCUAAUUUCGUGCCAGCAGCCGCGGUAAUACGAAAGGUGCAAGCGUUAAUCGGAAUUACUGGGCGUAAAGCGCGCGUAGGCGGUGUGUUAAGUCGGAUGUGAAAGCCCAGGGCUCAACCUUGGAAUUGCAUCCGAUACUGGCACGCUAGAGUGCAGUAGAGGGAGGUGGAAUUUCCGGUGUAGCGGUGAAAUGCGUAGAGAUCGGAAGGAACACCAGUGGCGAAGGCGGCCUCCUGGACUGACACUGACGCUGAGGUGCGAAAGCGUGGGGAGCAAAC
Molecule: ribosomal RNA, 425 nt
Filed under: uncultured Alcanivorax sp.
Lineage: Bacteria; Pseudomonadati; Pseudomonadota; Gammaproteobacteria; Oceanospirillales; Alcanivoracaceae
Description: bacterial SSU rRNA
Rfam family: Bacterial small subunit ribosomal RNA
Source: RNAcentral